ACGCACGCUGGCGGCGUGCCUAAUCCCUGCCAGUAGAACGCACAGUUUAUACCGUAGCUUGCUACACCAUAGACUGUGAGUUGCGAACGGGUGAGUAACGCGUAGGUAACCUGCCUGGUAGCGGGGGAUAACUAUUGGAAACGAUAGCUAAUACCGCAUAAUAUUGAUUAUUGCAUGAUAAUUGAUUGAAAGAUGCUAUUGCAUCACUACCAGAUGGACCUGCGUUGUAUUAGCUAGUAGGUGAGGUAACGGCUCACCUAGGCGACGAUACAUAGCCGACCUGAGAGGGUGAUCGGCCACACUGGGACUGAGACACGGCCCAGACUCCUACGGGAGGCAGCAGUAGGGAAUCUUCGGCAAUGGACGAAAGUCUGACCGAGCAACGCCGCGUGAGUGAAGAAGGUUUUCGGAUCGUAAAGCUCUGUUGUAAGAGAAGAACGGGUGUGAGAGUGGAAAGUUCACACUGUGACGGUAUCUUACCAGAAAGGGACGGCUAACUACGUG
Molecule: ribosomal RNA, 504 nt
Filed under: uncultured bacterium
Lineage: Bacteria
Description: partial 16S ribosomal RNA
Rfam family: Bacterial small subunit ribosomal RNA
Source: RNAcentral